RNAcentral lists this ribosomal RNA (266 nucleotides) under uncultured archaeon. Its description in RNAcentral is "partial 16S ribosomal RNA". It matches the Rfam family "Archaeal small subunit ribosomal RNA", at positions 717 to 982 of the family's 1478-position model. The record is from RNAcentral.
ACACGACUACAUUAGAUACCCCUGGUAGUCCAAGCCGUAAACGAUACUCGCUAGGUGUCGGCCACGGUGCGACCGUUGUCGGUGCCGUAGGGAAGCCGUGAAGCGAGCCACCUGGGAAGUACGGCCGCAAGGCUGAAACUUAAAGGAAUUGGCGGGGGAGCACCACAACGGGUGGAGCUUGCGGUUUAAUUGGAUUCAACGCCGGAAAUCUUACCGGGACCGACAGCAACAUGAAGGCCAGGCUGAAGACUUUGCCGGAUUAGCUG